AGCGAACGCUGGCGGCAGGCUUAACACAUGCAAGUCGAACGGGCACUUCGGUGCUAGUGGCAGACGGGUGAGUAACACGUGGGAACGUACCUUUCGGUUCGGAAUAAUUCAGGGAAACUUGGACUAAUACCGGAUACGCCCUUCGGGGGAAAGAUUUAUCGCCGAUAGAUCGGCCCGCGUCUGAUUAGCUAGUUGGUGAGGUAAUGGCUCACCAAGGCGACGAUCAGUAGCUGGUCUGAG
RNAcentral lists this ribosomal RNA (240 nucleotides) under Allobosea vestrisii. RNAcentral's name for it is "Bosea vestrisii partial 16S ribosomal RNA". It matches the Rfam family "Bacterial small subunit ribosomal RNA", at positions 29 to 296 of the family's 1533-position model. The record is from RNAcentral. Lineage: Bacteria; Pseudomonadati; Pseudomonadota; Alphaproteobacteria; Hyphomicrobiales; Alloboseaceae.